RNAcentral lists this ribosomal RNA (329 nucleotides) under uncultured bacterium. Its description in RNAcentral is "bacterial SSU rRNA". It matches the Rfam family "Bacterial small subunit ribosomal RNA", at positions 568 to 898 of the family's 1533-position model. The record is from RNAcentral.
UUCGUAGGCGGUGCGGCAAGUCGGAAGUGAAAUCUCCAGGCUCAACUUGGAGGCUGCUCCCGAAACUGCCGCGCUGGAGUGCGGGAGAGGCCAGUGGAAUUGCAGGUGUAGCGGUGAAAUGCGUAGAUAUCUGCAGGAACACCCGUGGCGAAGGCGGCUGGCUGGACCGCAACUGACGCUGAGGAACGAAAGCUAGGGGAGCAAACAGGAUUAGAUACCCUGGUAGUCCUAGCCCUAAACGAUCAGGACUUGGGGUGCAUCCCGACGGGAUGCGUCCCGUAGCUAACGCGUUAAGUCCUGCGCCUGGGGAGUACGGUCGCAAGACUGAA